This 78-nucleotide transfer RNA is filed under the name Vibrio parahaemolyticus. RNAcentral's name for it is "tRNA-Arg". It matches the Rfam family "tRNA". Rfam says of the family: Transfer RNA (tRNA) molecules are approximately 80 nucleotides in length. Their secondary structure includes four short double-helical elements and three loops (D, anti-codon, and T loops). Lineage: Bacteria; Pseudomonadati; Pseudomonadota; Gammaproteobacteria; Vibrionales; Vibrionaceae. The record is from RNAcentral.
GCGUCCUUAGCUCAGCUGGAUAGAGUACCUGGCUACGAACCAGGCGGUCAGCAGGAUCCAAUCCUCCAGAACACGCCA